AAUGAACGCUGGCGGCAUGCCUAACACAUGCAAGUCGAACGAAGCCUUCGGGCUUAGUGGCGCACGGGUGCGUAACGCGUGGGAACCUGCCUUUAGGUUCGGAAUAACUCGGGGAAACCCGUGCUAAUACCGGAUAAUGACGUAAGUCCAAAGAUUUAUCGCCUAAAGAUGAGCCCGCGUAAGAUUAGCUAGUUGGUGAGGUAAAAGACUCACCAAGGCGACGAUCUUUAGCUGGUCUGAGAGGAUGAUCAGCCACACUGGGAC
RNAcentral lists this ribosomal RNA (264 nucleotides) under uncultured bacterium. Its description in RNAcentral is "partial 16S ribosomal RNA". It matches the Rfam family "Bacterial small subunit ribosomal RNA", at positions 29 to 319 of the family's 1533-position model. The record is from RNAcentral.